Molecule: ribosomal RNA, 469 nt
Filed under: uncultured bacterium
Lineage: Bacteria
Description: bacterial SSU rRNA
Rfam family: Bacterial small subunit ribosomal RNA
Source: RNAcentral
GCCCAGACUCCUACGGGAGGCAGCAGUGAGGAAUAUUGGUCAAUGGGCGGAAGCCUGAACCAGCCAAGUCGCGUGAGGGAUUAAGGCCCUGCGGGUCGUAAACCUCUUUUGCCGGGGAGCAGAGGUCCGGACGUGUCCGGGCCGGGAGAGUACCCGGAGAAAAAGCAUCGGCUAACUCCGUGCCAGCAGCCGCGGUAAUACGGAGGAUGCGAGCGUUAUCCGGAUUUAUUGGGUUUAAAGGGUGCGUAGGCGGGCAUUUAAGCCGGCGGUCAAAUGUCGGGGCUCAACCCCGGCCUGCCGUCGGAACUGGGUGCCUUGAGUGGGCGAGAAGGAUGCGGAAUGCGUGGUGUAGCGGUGAAAUGCUUAGAUAUCGCGCAGAACCCCGAUUGCGAAGGCAGCGUACCGGCUCCACACUGACGCUGAGGCACGAAAGCGUGGGUAUCGAACAGGAUUAGAUACCCCCGUAAUC